Molecule: ribosomal RNA, 497 nt
Filed under: uncultured bacterium
Lineage: Bacteria
Description: partial 16S ribosomal RNA
Rfam family: Bacterial small subunit ribosomal RNA
Source: RNAcentral
GACGAACGCUGUCGGCGUGCCUAAUACAUGCAAGUUGAGCGAUGAAGAUUGGUGCUUGCACCAAUUUGAAGAGCAGCGAACGGGUGAGUAACGCGUGGGGAAUCUGCCUUUGAGCGGGGGACAACAUUUGGAAACGAAUGCUAAUACCGCAUAACAACUUUAAACAUAAGUUUUAAGUUUGAAAGAUGCAAUUGCAUCACUCAAAGAUGAUCCCGCGUUGUAUUAGCUAGUUGGUGAGGUAAAGGCUCACCAAGGCGAUGAUACAUAGCCGACCUGAGAGGGUGAUCGGCCACAUUGGGACUGGGACACGGCCCAAACUCCUACGGGAGGCAGCAGUAGGGAAUCUUCGGCAAUGGACGAAAGUCUGACCGAGCAACGCCGCGUGAGUGAAGAAGGUUUUCGGAUCGUAAAACUCUGUUGGUAGAGAAGAACGUUGGUGAGAGUGGAAAGCUCAUCAAGUGACGGUAACUACCCAGAAAGGGACGGCUAACUACGUG